Molecule: ribosomal RNA, 253 nt
Filed under: uncultured bacterium
Lineage: Bacteria
Description: partial 16S ribosomal RNA
Rfam family: Bacterial small subunit ribosomal RNA
Source: RNAcentral
UACGAAGGGGGCUAGCGUUGUUCGGAAUUAUUGGGCGUAAAGCGCGUGUAGGCGGUGAUGCAUGUCGGGUGUGAAAGCCCCCAGCUUAACUGAGGAAGUGCGCCCGAAACUGCAUCGCUGGAGUGUCGGAGAGGAAGGCGGAAUUCCCGGUGUAGAGGUGAAAUUCGUAGAUAUCGGGAGGAACACCAGUGGCGAAGGCGGCCUUCUGGACGAACACUGACGCUGAGACGCGAAAGCGUGGGUAGCAAACAGG